This 2475-nucleotide long non-coding RNA is filed under the name Sparus aurata (gilthead seabream). Its description in RNAcentral is "lncRNA (ENSSAUG00010001369.1)". The record is from RNAcentral. Lineage: Eukaryota; Metazoa; Chordata; Actinopteri; Spariformes; Sparidae.
UGAAGGCUGAGUGGCCAUUGAGACCAUAUGCCAAUUAACUAACUUGUUGUCUUUUUUUGUAAAAGGAUCCUCAAGAUCUAAAAGAAGACAGUCAACCCCAGAUGAGUUUUGUGAUGACUCUGCACCUAUAGUUAUCCCACAGACCAGUGAUGGCCCAGAAACAGGACCCCGAAGAUCCAAAAGAGGACAGCGGACCUCUGUUACGCCUGGCAGUUUUGAGCCUGCUGCCACAGGAUCCUCAAGAUCUAAGGAAAGACAGCGACCUGAGUCUGACAGUGGUGACCCUGAAACAGGACCCUCAACACCGAAGAGAAAACAGGAAACUGUUAAACAGUGGAGACCCUAAAACAGAAAAUGCAAAGAGGAGGAGUUGGUCAUUUAUCGAGGACAUUAAUGGCCUUCAUGUACUCUGGUAAAGUACCUGGAAAGUGGGAGUGUAUUGCCUGUAUUAAGGCAUCACCGGAAGCACUUAAACAAAGAAGCUGGAUGACGGUAAAGUUCUAUGUUAAAAAUCAUAUCACUGCCAUUCAGCGGUAAAGUGCAAGAAGAAUUUACUGAAUGUGUAUUGACACGUGAUGCCAUUUGCACUAGUUCUUAAGUGUUCUUAAAAUUGUAUGUUUUUGCUUUAUAAUCAUGUAGUUGGCUUGGAUGUCUUUCUGUGGAAAAGAUAUUGGUUGCUCUCAUAGAAUCUGGUUAAGUACCAGGACGGUCGGACUGUGUUACCUGCAUUAAAGGGCCUGUUAUGCUUUUCACGAUUUCACUGCUCUGCUAACAUUAUGGUGUUUUCCCAUUGUUUUGGGUGUAGUCACACCAAGCCGUGACUUGAGUCAAGUUGGUAUGCUGAGUGUUUUUACAUUACACCGCACGGUUCAGUAAAAUAAGUUGUUCACCUGUUGGAGGUGUGCUGGUCAUCUGCAGCUCUUAUCAAACAUUGCUGUGGCAGUUUCUGUUUGAAUAAUUCCCUCCCUUUUUGUAACUGAUCCAAUGAACACAGAGUUCCACAUAUCUCCAUAUCUUGUUAUAUCGACAGCUUUUUAGUGUAGCUUUUAAUGGUGGUUAUAGUUCCAGGAAUGUCGGACAGUGUUGUCUGUAUUAAGGUUUCACCAGAAGUACUUGAAACAAAGAAGCUGGUUAGAGAUAAACCUCUAUGUUAAAAACUGUAUCACUGCCAUUCACUAUGAAACUGGAAGAUACAUGUGAAUAAAUGUAUUGUUCUUUGCACUUGUGACUGGGGAUGAAUGUUUUACUGCAACUAACAAUUACUUUCAUUAUUGAUCAGUUGAUUAUCUUCUCAUUUAAUUGAUUAGUUGUUUGGUUCAGAAAAUAACUUAAAAUGUCUUGUUUUGUCCACAACCCAAAGAAAGAGGACUGAAGAAACCAGAAAAUAUUACUUUCUGGUUUCUCAUUUAAGAAGCUGGACUUUUCCUUAGAACAUUACUCAAACUGAUAAUUAGAUUAUCAAGAUAGAUGCAGAUUAAUUUGAUCGUUGACAAUUAAUCGAUGAAUCAUUGCAAGUAUAAAAAAAUGCAAAAGGGAUACAAAAUUAAAGUUUUGUGAAAAUAAGACCUUUGUCACGCCCUUUUGUACAGUAGGUCGAGGUUUUCCCACAAGAUGUAUUUUGGAAGCAAACGUUGAAUCUGAUCAUUAGAUUAAGUAGAAAGUCAUAACAUUUUGUCUCCUCUUUUGUAAGGCAGUUCUGCUGUUUGUCAUACCUGCUGGAAAUCAUUUGACAAACCAGUAUUACAUUUUUUUUGUUUUAUUUGCGACAUGUAUAUGUGUGAAAUCUGCUUGCUCAACUUUUGUCUGUUGAAAGAAUCUUGAAUGUGGAUGGUAGUGUGUUGUGUAAAUGAAUUGUAUGCUGUUAAAGGCAACAGUGUGCUAGGGUGAUAACAUCUUUAAUGUUUAACCAAUAUGACCAGGUCAAGCAAGCCUCUUACAGACGACAGGUAAUUUAUCCAUCAUGUUUAUAAACUGUUUCAUCAUGUGUUUGCCCAACAAUUAUAUUUUAGAAUCAGAAUCUGGUCUAUAUUUGAAGAAAAAUCUGGCAUCUUACAGUCUGGAUCAUUAGAUCCAAUGUUUAUUUAAUCUAAUAUUGAGGUUUUUAAUCCAACAGUAGUUAGAUUAAAUGCCUGUCAUCAAUUGUGCUGCACCUAACAGUGGAGUUGAUUGUUUGCCAAUACACACAACAUGACUGGUCCCCAGCAGGGGCAAAAGUCAGGUUUAAAAUUUUUGAGGGAGUUUUCAAUGUUUCAAGUGAUUUUCAUGUUAAGAAAAAAUUAUAAUGAUUUUAGCAGUUAAAAUCAUGUCUCUAGACCCCUCAGAAAGGGUGGAUCCCACCAGGCUGCUCCCAGUCAUUCUCACUCCCAGGGUCUCACGGUGUAGCAAAAACGGGUAUGCGUGUGUGUGUGUGUGUGUGUGUGUGUUAGUGGUCCAAACCUCUCAGAAGGUGAUGACAAGACCUCAAAACUCGGGGCU